GGAAUAUUGGACAAUGGGCGAAAGCCUGAUCCAGCCAUGCCGCGUGAGUGAUGAAGGCCUUAGGGUUGUAAUGCUCUUUUAGCGGGGAAGAUAAUGACGGUACCCGCAGAAUAAGCCCCGGCUAACUUCGUGCCAGCAGCCGCGGUAAUACGAAGGGGGCUAGCGUUGUUCGGAAUUACUGGGCGUAAAGCGCACGUAGGCGGAUUGGCAAGUCAGAGGUGAAAUCCCGGGGCUCAACCUCGGAACUGCCUUUGAUACUGCCAGUCUAGAGUCCGGAAGAGGUGGGUGGAAUUCCUAGUGUAGAGGUGAAAUUCGCAGAUAUUAGGAAGAACACCGGUGGCGAAGGCGGCCCACUGGUCCGGAACUGACGCUGAGGUGCGAAAGCGUGGGGAGCAAAC
RNAcentral lists this ribosomal RNA (398 nucleotides) under uncultured bacterium. RNAcentral's name for it is "bacterial SSU rRNA". It matches the Rfam family "Bacterial small subunit ribosomal RNA", at positions 358 to 773 of the family's 1533-position model. The record is from RNAcentral.